UACGGAGGGUGCAAGCGUUAAUCGGAAUUACUGGGCGUAAAGGGUGCGUAGGUGGUUUGAUAAGUUAGCUGUGAAAGUCCUGGGCUUAACCUGGGGAUGUCAGCUAAGACUGUUAGACUAGGAGUAUAGGAGAGGGUAGUGGAAUUUCCGGUGUAGCGGUGAAAUGCGUAGAGAUCGGAAGGAACACCAGUGGCGCAGGCGGCUACCUGGCCUAAUACUGACACUGAGGCACGAAAGCGUGGGGAGCAAACAGG
RNAcentral lists this ribosomal RNA (254 nucleotides) under uncultured bacterium. RNAcentral's name for it is "partial 16S ribosomal RNA". It matches the Rfam family "Bacterial small subunit ribosomal RNA", at positions 524 to 776 of the family's 1533-position model. The record is from RNAcentral.